AUUGAACGCUGGCGGCAGGCCUAACACAUGCAAGUCGAGCGUGAAAGUCCUUCGGGAGUGAGUAAAGCGGCGGACGGGUGAGUAACGCGUAGGAAUCUACCUAGUAGUGGGGGAUAACGUUCCGAAAGGAACGCUAAUACCGCAUACGUUCUGAGGAAGAAAGCAGGGGAUCUUCGGACCUUGCGCUAUUAGAUGAGCCUGCGUCCGAUUAGCUAGUUGGUGGGGUAAAGGCCUACCAAGGCGACGAUCGGUAACUGGUCUGAGAGGAUGAUCAGUCACACUGGAACUGAGACACGGUCCAGACUCCUACGGGAGGCAGCAGUGGGGAAUAUUGGACAAUGGGCGCAAGCCUGAUCCAGCCAUGCCGCGUGUGUGAAGAAGGCCUUCGGUUGUAAAGCACUUUAAGCGGGGAGGAAGGCCUGAUGGCU
RNAcentral lists this ribosomal RNA (428 nucleotides) under uncultured bacterium. RNAcentral describes it as "bacterial SSU rRNA". It matches the Rfam family "Bacterial small subunit ribosomal RNA", at positions 30 to 461 of the family's 1533-position model. The record is from RNAcentral.